RNAcentral lists this ribosomal RNA (468 nucleotides) under uncultured bacterium. RNAcentral describes it as "partial 16S ribosomal RNA". It matches the Rfam family "Bacterial small subunit ribosomal RNA", at positions 28 to 507 of the family's 1533-position model. The record is from RNAcentral.
GACGAACGCUGGCGGCGUGCUUAACACAUGCAAGUCGAACGGAAAGGCCCUGCGUUUGUUGGGUUCUCGAGUGGCGAACGCGUGAGUAACACGUGAGUAACCUGCCCUUGACUUUGGGAUAACUUCAGGAAACUGGGGCUAAUACCGGAUAGGAGCUCCUGCUGCAUGGUGGUGGUUGGAAAGUUUCGGCGGUUGGGGAUGGACUCGCGGCUUAUCCGCUUGUUUGUGGGGUAGUGGCUUACCAAGGCUUUGACGGGUAGCCGGCCUGAGAGGUUGACCGGCCACCUUGGGACUGAGAUACGGACCAGAAUCCUACGGGAGGCAGCAGUGGAGAAUAUUGCACAAUGGGGGGAAGCCUGAUGCAGAAACGCCGGGUGCGGGAUGACGGGCUUCGGGUUGUAAACCGCUUUCGACUGUGACGAAGCGUGAGUGACGGUAAUGGGUAAAGAAGCACCGGCUAACUACGUG